Molecule: non-coding RNA, 9264 nt
Organism: Sus scrofa (pig)
Lineage: Eukaryota; Metazoa; Chordata; Mammalia; Artiodactyla; Suidae
Source: RefSeq, a predicted model, not a curated record
ACCCAUUACCUGGAACUGCUGAUCUCCCCAACAAGAAUAUGAGUUCCAUGAAAGGAGGGAGAUCAAUUGCUUUGUCACUCUUGAUAACGCCUGUGCCCAGAAGAGUGCCUGGCACCGAGUAGGCUUUCAAUAAAUAUUUGUUGAAUAAUUAAUUAAUGCUGGGCACUUUAUGCAAUAGGGAAGAAUAAGUUAACGCACCCUUCACCAGUUAAGUCAUACUUCCUUUCUUCGUCGUGGGUUUAAAACCCACAAGAAAAUUGAAGUGAAACAGACGUUUUCUGCUGGAAGAGUGCUAUACUUAUCUUCAGCAGCUUAUACCCUGGAAGAAGAUGGCUCAUCACCACACAUGGAUCUUGCUUCUUUGCCUUCAAACCCGUCUGGGAGCAGUUGGAAGCAACACAGACAUCACUAUGGUAAAUGGGAUUCUGGGGGAGUCAGUGACUUUCUCCUUAAGUAUCCUCAAAUCAGAAGAAGUUAAAAGUAUUUCCUGGAAUUCCAAAACAUCUGUCGCUGUUGUAGUACCAGGAAACUCAGGAACAACGAUUACUGUAACCCACCAAAAUUACUAUGACCGACUAAAUGUCUCAGGUCUGAACUACAACCUGGAGCUCAGAAAUCUGAGGAUGGAAGAUUCAGGGAUCUACAAAGCUGACAUUACUGUAAAGAGCCUUGAAAAAGUCACCACCAUCACUAAGUGCUACGACCUUCAAGUCUAUCGUCGGCUUGGGAAGCCAAAAAUUACUCGGAGUUUAAUGACAUCUAUGAAUGGCACCUGUAAUGUCACACUGACAUGCUCUGUGGAGAAAGAAGAAAAGAAUGUGACAUACAGUUGGAGUCACCUGGGCAGAGAGGGCAAUGUCCUUCAAAUCUUCCAGACCCCUGACAACCAACACCUGACUUACACAUGUACAGCCUGGAACCCUGUCAGCAACAAUUCUGACUCCAUCUCUGCCCAGCAGCUCUGUGCAGACAUCGCAGUGGGCCUCCAGACUCGCCACCCUGGGCUGCUGAGUGGGCUGGCUGUGCUCUCUGUGUUUAUAAUCAUCAUACCUUCAGUGAUUUUGUGUCUUAUGUACAAGAGAGGACAAGGUAGGAUCUUCUCAGAAGGUAAAAAGUGGAAAGGCACCUUCCUUCUUCCUGGGACUGAAGUCAUUUAUCCAAGGUUCCUACUUGAAGACCUUCAGUAAGAACCCUGAUGCUGACUCAAAGAAAACAAUAUACACAUACAUUACAGCUGCGAAAGAUGCCCAGACAGCAGAGUACAGAAUCUACGAUGAAAUCCCCCAGUCCAAGGUGCCCCCCACCAAGGAGGAGCCAGUGAACACGAUUUAUUCCAUAGUGCAGUAUUCUGAUAAGACAGAGAAAAGCACACAGGACAGCAAACCUUCUGGGACUUCAAGCUACGAAAUUGUGAUCUAGGCUUCCAGGCAGCAUUCUCCCCUUGGAAACUAAGCUAUGAUCAGAGGUACCGGUAGAUGGCCCAGACCCAGAGGUUCUCUGCCCACAUCUUCCCUGGAGAUCGCAAAUCACCAGAUCUCAACACAUAAGCAAAGAAGGAGACACUGUGUGGUUGGGCCUAGCUUGUGCCUAGAUAGAAAAAUGAACAUGUGCUCUUUCUGAAAUGACUCUUUUCCAGAUGAACGACAAGGCAGGUCCCUUGGCAUUUCCUAAUCUUCUUCAAAUCACAGCACAUGGAGAAAAAAUAGUAGUAUUUUUCUGGCACUAUUGGGUAUAUAAUCAAGGCGGCUCAUAUCUGGAGACUGUGUAUGGCUGGAGUCUGCAUAUGACUGGAAGUGAUGACUCUUCCCAGCAAACCCGUGUAUGGAAGACCAAGGCUUUGCACGCCUUAUUAUGCCAUGGAUCCUCUGCUCACACUCAAUAUAUGUGAGGAGCCCUGGUGCAUGUCCUCCCCCAGUCUACACAGCACCUCAGGCAAAUGCAGCCCCUAACCCAAGCACCUGGCUUGGUAUGUAGAGUGUGGACUGCAUUUCAGCCUCUAUUUGUUCCUUUGCCUGGAAACUUUUGUGCAGAGUACAACUGGCCAAACCAGCCCAAACACACAUGAUCAUGUGGCGUGGCAGGCCAUCACGUUGUGGCUCUCAGCAGUGUAGACAUACUCUCCAAAGGGAUGUUAGAAAAUGCUCUUUCUAUAGGGACUAGACCACUGGGGCAUUUUCUCCAGGCUGCACUUCAGAAACCUCGUAAGAUUUUUUUUUCUGGCCAAGAUUUCCUUCUAUAUCCUUCUGCAUUGAUUAAUUUUAUAUGUCACCUUAAAUAUGCCAUGGGGUCCCUGGGUAUUUGGUUAAAUGUUAUUCGUGUGAGUGUGAGGGUGCUUCUGGAUGAGAUUAAUAUUUAAAAUUGGUAGACUGAGGAAAGCAGAUUAAUCCUCCCCUCCAAUGUGGGUGGGCAUCAUCAUAUCAAUUGAAAACCCAAAUGGAACAAAAAGGCAGAGUGAGGAAGAAUUCACUCUGUCUGCUUGACUGUCUUUGAGCUGGGACAUCAGUCUUCUAUUGCCUUUGGACUUGGACUUGGACUUGGACUGGAAAGUACCAUCAGCUCUCCUGGUUCUCAGGCCUUUGGACUCAGGCCAGAACUACAUUAUCACCUCUCCAGCUUGCUGACUACCAAUCUUGAGAUUUCUCAAUCUCCAUAACCACAUGAAUCAGUGGUUUUAUAGCUAUAUCCUCUUGGCUCCCGUUUCUAGCAGAAUGAGGCUAAUGCACAUUCUAAACAGCCUUAUCAAGAAGAAGAAGCCAGGAUUGCCCUUUGUGGCCCAGUGGAAAGGAAUCUGACUAGUAUCCAUGAGGAUGUGGGUUCAAUCCCUGGCCUCAAUCAGUGGGUUAAGGAUCCAGCGUUGUCGUGAGCUGUGGUGUCAGUUGCAGACACAGCUUAGAUCCCACAUUGCUAUGGCUGUGUGCUGUGGCCCGCAGCUGUAGCUCUGGUUUGACCCCUAGGCUGGGAACUUCCAUAUGCCUCGAAUGUGGCCCUAAAAAGCAAAAAAAAAAGGAAGAAGAAGAAGCAGUCAUACCCCCAAUCUCCAAAAAGAAUUGCUCAGCUACAUUUCUGGCACUUUUGGGGAACCCAACUAUCAAAAUAAGAGACCUUGAAGGAAGCAGUCAUUCUCCAGAGGUAAUCUGAGAGAUGAUGGAAUAGAGAUAAACCUGGGUUCCCCCCAGUUCCUAAACUUCAGACCAGAGAGUCAUGAAGUUUAAGCUAAGGUUAGUGACCUCCACUCCUCCUGCCAGCACUAUGGCCCCCACUUCUCCUGCCAGCACUAUGAUCUCCUGUGACUGAGCGGAAUAUUCAAGUAAGCCUUUGAAAAACCAUUUCCCUUAUGUGUUGGCAAACAUAACCAGCUAAAUCCUAAACCCCAUGAACAAUCCCAGGCUAGACAGCAGAAAUAAACUGCAUUUAGGAAGAAAGAAAAUGUUAGUAGCAGUCAAUGGGUCCAUAGAACCGUUUAGCCCCAAUUAUCAUUAGCACUGUUUUGGAGGUUGCAAGGUCUCCAAACUAUAAGAUAAUCAUGUCUGCCCUGGUCUAACUACAGCAUAGACACUACAGCUAAAUCCUAAACUACAGGCUGCAAGGAGUGGCAUGAGCUAGCAUAGCCAGAGAACACCUUAUGAAGGCAGUGUAGCUGAAGCUGGCCCUUAAAGGGUGGGUGGGAUUCAGCAGAGAAUGAAGACAGAGGGCAUCCAAGUGAGGAAAGCAUGAAAGAAAGGACUGGAUCUGUGUGGUGUAUUUUGGGCAUCUCCCCCAGACACACCGUGCAUGUUCAAUCUCACUUGCCUAUGCGUGGCAUAGUCCUCAGCUAGAAUGUGUGCCCCUAUCCCCUGUCCAUUUACACAUCCUUCAAUAGCCAGCUCAAACAUCACCUCCUAUAUGAAGCUUUCCUUGUUAUCACUAGUCAAAUUAAUUGUGUCUCUUUUUGCACUCCUUAUCCCACCCCUUUGGUCCUUCUAUCACUAAAAUGUAUUUCAUUCUUCCUUAUGGAAUACAGUAGAUAUAGUAACAAUAAUUAUUUGUUUCCCUCUAUGUUGUCCCAAGGUCCAUGACAUCAUGAUCAUUAAAAAGUGAUCAUGAGAGGUUAUAUAGUUUUAAUGCAUCUCCACAUCUACCACCAGCCCACAUAGUGCCUUGUAUCCUGCUUGUAAGCUAUGACUGCUAUUGAAUAGAGUUGAAAAUGACCAGCCAACUCAAAAGGAAAGUACAUAUUGCACAAAUUGAUGGAUAGAAGCCAAUCGAUAAGCAUAGUGGAAGCAAAUUUUGGUAGGCUUUAAAUAUCAGGAUGCAAACAUCAGAAGACUCUGUUGUCUGUUCCCAGUACAAAUGCAUCUUGGAGGGAGAAGACUUUCAGAGUCAGAAAGACCAACUACUAUGUCAACUGACGCAAUGAUCCAAGUGUGGGGAGGUGAAAGGCAGUCACCCUACGGAAGAACAUGAAGGAAGAAAUAAAUAGACUUGGUCCUAAAGGACAAAAAUAUUCCAAAGUCACACGGAAUAGGCUGAGCUUCUCCUGAAAUAAAAGUACUCCUCAUCUUUACAUGAGUUAAGGAAAUCACUCCUGAACAUUUUCAUUCUGUAAACUACUGCCCCUGACUCUCCCUCAUGUACUUACUCAGUCUAGUUCUUAGUAUCCUAAUGCCCCAGUGGAUAGUGGGAGAAGGGAAAGGAGAAAGGAAGGAAGGGAGGGAGGGAGGGACCAAAGGCUAGAGUUCCUUAGGUCUUCCAGGAGAACAAACCAGGGAUGGAAUUCCAGGAAUUCUUUAGGUGGCCUUGGGGACUCGGGAGCACCGUGCUUGAUUCUUUCCUAUGACUGUUCUAAUUUAUGAAGACAUUAAGCUACUCGCCCCAUUCCAAAGGACUCAGUUCUCAGAUUCUCCUUCUGUAAAAUGAGUGUGAUCUUAUUUCCCCCUUCCCACCUUUCCAGAAAAACUAGAUUAUGACCAAUAGAUCUAUAAAACAAAGUAUUCUUUCAAUGGAACAGGAUCUUUUAUCAGACCAAGAUGUGCCAGAUUUAUUUUUAAUGUGCACUGAAAUUGAAAUCUCAGGGGCAGGGCCCUCUAGCGGAAAGCAGCAGUAAGACAGGACAUUCCCUCUGCAAGUCAGUGUGGGCUUUCCCAGGGAGCUGAGAAAAUAAGGAACAUUGCAGUUAACGCCUCUCAGAAAAAGAAAGUGAAGCUGAUUUAAAAUGAGAUAAUUCUUACAGCUGUAUAACUCUGAACUGCACAGCCCAUGAGAGAAGAGCUUGGCUUGGCCACGUCUGAAAAGUGGGCACAGGAAGGAGCUUGGCUGGUCCAGGCUAUGUCACAGAGAGCACUUCUCACAUUCCGCCUGAAAUUGGCCAGACUGUAUUUUCUUCAAGAUCCAUGACUUUCCUUCUGUUUGACUUUUCCCUGAAUUCCUCUUGAUUUGUAAAAUUUUCUUGUGUGUAAUUAGUGACAGUCCCUACUGGCUAUAAAAUGAAGCUUGAAGGACACAAUAAGAAGUGGCCACAAAUGUGGGCUCUAAUGAUAGAAUACCUGGGUCUGAAUCCUGGUUUCUUAAUUAAGUGACCUCAGGAAAGUUGUUUUAACUUCUUUGUGCCUCAGUUUUCCUGUCUAUAAAAUGGGGAUAAUACUGGCUUUUACCUCCCAGGGUUGAAUGGGAAUUCAACGAGGUGUUCUGUGCCUGCACAGAGUAAAGCCCUGGAUCAUUGUAUUAGCUGUAUUAGCCUUAUAAGAUGAUAAACUAAAAUUAUGAAAUAAGGGGAGUUCCCAUCGUGGCUCAGUGGAAAUGAAUCUGACUAGCAUCCAUGAGGACGCAGGUUCAAUUCCUGGCCUCACUCCAGGGGUUAAGCAUCUGGCGUUGCCAUGAGCUAUCCUGUAGGUCACAGACAUGGCUCAGAUCUGACGUUGCUGUGGCUGUGGCAUUGGUCAGCAGCUGUAGCUCCAGUUUGACCCCUAGCCUGGGAACCUCCAUAUGCCGUGGGUGCAACCUCCCCAAAAGACCCCAAAAAAUUAUGAAAUAGGGUUUUGCAAGAGAAAUAUAUCUAAUACUGUGCUAAAUAAAUGUCUGUCAAACUUUUAACUCUCAAUCCUCCUUAGUCAAUGUCUGUCUCUACUAUUUCACUUACCAUACAACACCCUAAUUACCUGUCUCCUCAACUAAUAAGACCACAGGGGCUAUGUCUGAAUAAUAAUAAUGGAAAUAAAGAGCUACUUGAGGGCAGGGAGCUUUUAAUAGUUCAUCGAGGGCUUCCUGUGUAUACCAACUGCUACACGAGAUGUAUCGAGUAUGCUAUUCUUCCAGUUUACAUUAAGGCUGAAGGAAUAAAUACCUUAGCAAAAUCAGGAAGCUUGGGAAGACAAGAUAUGAACUCGGGACUUCUUGUAAUCAAGGACCAUAUGUUUGUACACUUCCAGGCUGUCUCCCUUUACCUGCUCUGGAUUCCCAACACCUGGCACUUUGCUCCAGAUAUAGCACACACCUUUGCUUGGCACAUGAUGGGUAGCCCACAAAUACUCGUUGAAUGAAUAUGUACCUAUAAUAAUAUUUUAAAGACACUAAGAGAGCUCCAAGUCAACAUAUUCGUAUAUUAAUUCCAUUGUUCUCUGGAUAACCACUCACCUUUCCUAUUGGAAAUAUCCAUGAAAGAAGCUUGGAUAGAGCUCUCUGUCUGCAUUUGGGGCAGAGCUGCUUUCCUAGAAAACUAGGGAUCCAGGUCUUAAGCAUUUCUGGUGAGUUGCUACGAAAUGAGAGAAACGCAGUAUCAAUUUCCAUAUUGCUAUCACAAGAAUAACAGGAGCAGAAGAGGUGAGAAGUGGGGAGCUGUGCUGUGCUAGUUCAUGGGUAAGAAACAGUUGCACCCUUUUAGAUUUUAAUGAUCGCCUUUCCAACUGUUGAGAGCCCUUGAUGGUGGUUCCGGUUAUAUUAAAGUGUUAAUAGGUUUUGACAAAGGACCAUUUUAGUAAAAGUCCUGAGGUUCUGACUUGAGAAAACAACGACUAGUACAUUCUCUAGAGACUAGCAGGCUUUGACAAAUUUAUUUGGAGAACAGAUGAAGGAACUAUCCCCUCUUUGGAAGAUAAUUAUUAACUCUUGCUGGUUGAUUGCUCAGGCAGUUUUGAAUAGCCCUACACAGAUCUCUGGGUUUAGGUUCAUCAACUCUGGGACCCAAAAGUGGCCAUCUCCUUUGCAAGUGAGAAAUAGAGAUUUUUCAUAUGAGGUCUUAUUGUAGGUAAAUAAUUACAUAAAUUAUCUGUCAGAGAAUUUUUUAAAAUACCCAUAAUCUCAAUCAUUUCAUUUGUACCCUAUAUGUCCAACUGUUUAUGGGAUCAUUUCUGCAUAGAUGUCAGACGUCACCUUAAAUUCGGCGUGCCCAAAUUUGAACUCACAAGUCUUUCCUUGACCUCCCUGACUUGCUUUUCUGUCUGUGUCCGCUGUGCUAGUUAAAGACCCACCAUGAUCUUCUUUGUUUGUUUGUUCAUAUAAUGAUUUUUAUUUUCUUCCAUUAUAGCUGGUUUACAGUGUUCUAUUUUCCACUGUAUAGCAUGGUGGCCCAGUUACACAUACAUGUAUACAUUCUUUUUUCUCACAUUAUUAUGCUCCAUCAUAAGUGACCAGACAUAGUUCCCAGUGCUACACAGCAGGAUCUCAUUGCUAAUCCAUUCCAAAGGCAAUAGCCUGCAUCUAUCAACCCCAAGCACCCCAUCCACCCCACUCUCUCCCACUCCCAUUUGGCAACCACAAGUCUAUUCUCCAAGUACAUGAUUUUCUUUUCUGGACCCACCAUAAUCAUAAUAGCCAAUCCUUAUUGACUGCUUCCUAUGUGCCAUUCCUUUACCUGACAUUUUCUAUGUACUCAUUCAUUUUAAAAAGCCCAUAAUGGGGUUCCUGUUGUGGUUCAGCAGUAAUGAACCCAACUAGUAUCCAUGAGGAGAUGGUUCAAUGCCUGGCCCCGCUCAUUGGGUUAAGGAUCCGGUGUUGCCAUGAAGUGCGGUGUAGGUCACAGACGUGGCUCAGAUCUGGCGUUGCCCUGGCUGUGGUGUAGGACGGCAGCUGCAGGUCUGAUUCAACUCCUAGACUGGGGACCUCCAUAUGCUAUGGGUGCGGCCCUAAAAAAGAAAACAAAAAAUUUUUUAAUAAGUAAAUAAAAAAUAGAAAAAGAAACUGAGUCACAGAAUGACUAAAUAACUCAUACAAAUAAAUAUUUAAAAUAGGAAUCAAUUCCUAACCUUCCAACUCCAGGGGCUGUAUCCUGAACUGCUAUUCUUCACCACUUCACCAAUCAGCAGUUACCCAAAGCAGAGAACUCUUUUAUCCUUGAGUCUUCUUUCUUUUUUCCCAUCACCUCAACCCCCUGCUGCAUCUAGUCAGUUAUUAGGCCCUGUCAAUUCCAACUCUUCUACAUGGCUCCUCUCAACCACAUCCUCUCAAUCUGUCUAAUUCUCAAACACACACUCCCUCUCCACGCCCACUAUCCCAGUUCAUUCCUUUAUCAUUUAUUCCCUUGGCUGCUGUCACAUAAACAGCAGUCUUUCUAAAACAUGGAACUUAACACUUCUUUUUCCUACUGAAAAUUGUUUCCUGUGGAACCAGACUCCUUAGUAAUCUGACCCAUCAGAUUUUCCAGCCCCCCUCCUCCUGCCUCUUCCCCAGGCUCCAGACACAUAAAAAUACUGUGAGUCCGUGAAUUCAUCAAAUCCUUUCCCACUCCCAUGCCUUUGCCCAUGAUCUAUCCUCCACUUGAAAUGCUUUUCUCUCUGUUCCAUCUCUGGCUCUUUCAUAUCUCAAGGAUCAAACCAAGUAUCCCCUCUUUGCAUAGCCUUCCAAAACCUCCCACUCAAAGCUAAAUACGUAGCUCCCUAUUUGUGCUCCUACAACAUCCAGUACAGAAGUGCAUAACAGUAGCUUUUAUCAUAUUCUAUGAUAAUUAUAUAGCUGUGGUAUUUUCUCAACUGUCUCCCCAACUAGCCAAUAAGUUGUUUUGGCUAGAAGACUUUCUCCUCGUCUCUGUGUCCACAGUACCUAAUGAACCUAACAUCCUCAAAAAAUUGGAUGAGCUCAUUAAUUAAUACAAAGAUGAGGACUAUGCUCACUAGUAUCAAAUGCUGCUAAUCCUCUUUCAGAAGCUAGUUGCCAUGCUUGUAAUGGUAUUUUAUUCUUUCUGUUAUUUCAUACAUUUGUAAAUUUCCAUUAAUAAAGUGUUGUCCACAUCUUGUAUGAAGUGAGGCUGUAGGCUCCAUUUGAGUAAGUAAACACACAAAAAAAUUUGGUAAUGCA